This 532-nucleotide ribosomal RNA is filed under the name uncultured bacterium. Its description in RNAcentral is "bacterial SSU rRNA". It matches the Rfam family "Bacterial small subunit ribosomal RNA", at positions 777 to 1317 of the family's 1533-position model. The record is from RNAcentral.
AAUAGAUACCCAGGUAGUCCACGCCGUAAACGAUGGAUACUAGCUGUUGGUGGCAACAUCAGUGGCUAAGCGAAAGUGAUAAGUAUCCCACCUGGGGAGUACGAACGCAAGUUUGAAACUCAAAGGAAUUGACGGGGGCCCGCACAAGCGGUGGAGCAUGUGGUUUAAUUCGAUGAUACGCGAGGAACCUUACCAGGGCUUAAAUGUAGAUUGACAGGUUUGGAAACAGACUUUUCUUCGGACAAUUUACAAGGUGCUGCAUGGUUGUCGUCAGCUCGUGCCGUGAGGUGUCAGGUUAAGUCCUAUAACGGGCGCAACCCCCGUUGUUAGUUGCCAGCGAGUGAUGUCGGGAACUCUAGCAAGACUGCCGGUGCAAACCGUGAGGAAGGUGGGGAUGACGUCAAAUCAUCACGGCCCUUACGCCCUGGGCUACACACGUGCUACAAUGGCCGGUACAGAGAGCAGCCACCUCGCGAGGGGGAGCGAAUCUAUAAAGCCGGUCACAGUUCGGAUCGGAGUCUGCAACUCGACU